UGUUGGCGGUAAUACGGAGGGUGCGAGCGUUAAUCGGAAUUACUGGGCGUAAAGGGUGCGUAGGUGGUUGAUUAAGUUAUCUGUGAAAUUCCUGGGCUUAACCUGGGACGGUCAGAUAAUACUGGUUGACUCGAGUAUGGGAGAGGGUAGUGGAAUUUCCGGUGUAGCGGUGAAAUGCGUAGAGAUCGGAAGGAACACCAGUGGCGAAGGCGGCUACCUGGCCUAAUACUGACACUGAGGCACGAAAGCGUGGGGAGCAAACAGGAUUAGAUACCCUGGUAGUCCACGCUGUAAACGAUGUCAACUAAGCUGUUG
RNAcentral lists this ribosomal RNA (315 nucleotides) under uncultured Legionella sp. RNAcentral describes it as "bacterial SSU rRNA". It matches the Rfam family "Bacterial small subunit ribosomal RNA", at positions 512 to 826 of the family's 1533-position model. The record is from RNAcentral. Lineage: Bacteria; Pseudomonadati; Pseudomonadota; Gammaproteobacteria; Legionellales; Legionellaceae.